CCCAGCAGCUGCAUGGUGGCCGGUGCGUGCAGCCGCAGGCAUCAUGUGCUUCGGCGCGUGCAUGGUGGCCGCCGGGCGUGCAGCUGCAGCAUCCGAGUGCAGCCGCCGCGUGCUGGCCCCCACAUAUGUUGGCCGAUUACGUGCUUGCCGUAGGCGUCCAAGGCCAAUGGAGGCCGCCGCCUUCAACUCGCGCUUGCCCUGCAGCCUUGAACGCCUCUGUAAAUUUCUCCGCCCAUCUCUUGCAGGAACCAUACUUCCUUCCUUCUCUCCUCCUCUUGAUUAGCAUGCUCCUUUCCAAUCCACUCCUCUCCUUUGAUUUAACACCUAGAACUUUUCAUCUUUGUGCGGAUUAUUCUGUGUAUAUGCCUACAAGGUGCUCGAUGAAAAUCCAAACAGGCUACAGGGGAAGAUUACUUCCUUUUUAUGCUUUUCUGUGUACUCAACAAUUCUUUCUUCUUCUUCUUCUGAAAUUUAGCUGUAAUCAUCAACAAAUUAGGCCCCCCAAGUUCUUCCCCAAAAUGUACUGUACAUGCAAGAUAAUUACAUGAUCGAAAAUAUGCAAAGCACUUUAAAUAGAUGUUGCAAAGCAUUUUAAAUAGAUGUUGUAAGUUUACUCCUUAGGUUUACUGUAUAAUGAGAUGCAAUACACAUAUGUGAACCAGUGAUAUGUAGGACAUUUUCAAUAGAGAUACUCUUUGUGUUCACCAGUUACUCUUAGACAUGAAAAGCAUCAGCUAUAUAGUAUUAUUCAGUGGAUAUACUAUAUGUUAACACACAAGGUACAGCUCUAUGGGGAAAAAACUGGAUAUAAACACUAAAUGCACAAUGCAUCUUAUCAAAUUGUUAACUCUUGAGAAAUUUAACUUAAAAAGCUAUUUUCUCAACUAUUGGUACUACUGUAGUCUGUAGAUGUCCAGAGAUCAUUCUAGGGGUAUUAAGAUUAGUUUUCCAAACCAUGUGUAAAUCUAAAUUCUAGGUGUGCAGAGAUCUAUUUUCUCAACUAUUGGUACUAUUGUAGUCUGUAGAGGCGUACAUAUCUAUUGCUAACAAUCUAAAUUUCUAGAUCAGCAGCUUGGUCUUAAGCUUACAAAAUAGACUACUUUGUCUGAGCAAUAAUAGGUUGUAAUUGUUUUGAAUGCUAGACAUUGGUGUUCAUAAAAUUUUGUCCUCACUUCUUGACCCCAAUUCAAAUUAGUUUUUUUUCUUCUCAUGAGUGUUAAUUUAUUUGGCGCUUUUGCUGUCAUACUUAGAGCCCUGGUUCAGAAUAGUUUUUUUUUCUUCUAGUUCAGGUUAGUGAUUUUUGUAUAUCAAUUUUGUGUUCACAAUUUUGCGUCAGACCAUAGAAACAUUUUGUCUCAUGCUUUGGCUGACUUGCUCUAUUUUCUAUACAAAUUCUAGAUCGCCAGUUCGGAUCAUGAUCAUUGUGUGUCCUUCUUUGUAACUUCGGAAACAGUUUAAUAAUUGUACAAAGAAGAACCUUGUGUUCUGGAAUAUGGAUUGAAGGUUACAAGUAAGCUCAGCCGGCAGACGACAUUCAUGUAUCAUAGGAAAGCAAUGGUAAUGAUUGGCUCUUUCUGACAAAAAGAUAUAUCAUGCUCCAUGUUUUUACAGGCACAUUGACAUGAAUAUAAUAGUCGUUAGCAUCUCUAUAUCAUGUCCAGUCUUCGUCUUCGUCGUCGUCGUCGUCGUCGCCGCUGUAUCUUUCUGAGCCUCACCUCACAAUUUCAAUGCAAAAUGCAGCCAUCAUCUUGGAAUUCCUUGAGAAUAUCCCUGCCAAAUGCGCCUCCUGGGUGUUCCUGUGCGGUGCCAUCUUAAUACAGUGCUAAUGACACGCCUUCUAGUGGUCCGUGGGAGCAAAUUGGAGAAACGGAAGACGGGGGAAAGCAAUGCAUGGCUUCAAACUGGGGGGCGGGUUGGUAAUCGUCGAAUCGCGCGGUUGCAACUAGACUGAAUUAAACAGCAUUGUGCAUCAAAGUGUGACAGAAAUGCACGCGUCGCAUUUGGGCGAAUGUUAAUAUCGAUUUGUUCAUGAUGAAAGCAAGUGAUUACUAUUUACCACCGCGUAUCUGUGUCGCUAAAGAGCAGCAGCUUGAACUGGUUGAGAUGCUUGGGGUGGCGUCUUCUUUCAGUUUUCCUCUAGCCGCAUAUACACAGAGAGGGUGUAACUGUGAGAAACUUCAGCUCCAGGCUAACGGUUGGAAUUGUCCUCUUAUGAUUUUGCUUAAUGUUUACUUCCAUAUCAAACAUGAUGUUAAUGUUAAGUAUACAUGUUGUGUUUGUCUUGUA
This is a long non-coding RNA of Triticum aestivum (bread wheat), 2286 nucleotides long. RefSeq lists it as uncharacterized. The transcript has 2 exons. The record is from RefSeq and is a predicted model, not a curated record. Lineage: Eukaryota; Viridiplantae; Streptophyta; Magnoliopsida; Poales; Poaceae.